AAUAUUGGACAAUGGGGGCAACCCUGACCCAGCCAUGCCGCGUGUGUGAAGAAGGUCUUCGGAUUGUAAAGCACUUUAAGCCGGGAGGAAGGGCUUUAGGCUAAUACCCUGAAGUUUUGACGUUACCAACAGAAUAACAACCGGCUAACUCCGUACCAGCAGCCGCGGUAAUACAGGGGGUGCAAGCGUUCAUCGGAAUUACUGGGCGUAAAGCGCGCGUAGGUGGUUCAGUAAGAUGGGUGUGAAAUCCCCGGGCUUAACCUGGGAACUGCUUUCAUGACUGCUGAGCUAGAGUACGGUAGAGGGUAGUGGAAUUUCCUGUGUAGCGGUGAGAUGCGUAGAUAUAGGAAGGAACACCAGUGGCGAAGGCGACUACCUGGACUGAUACUGACACUGAGGUGCGAAAGCGUGGGGAGCAAAC
This 421-nucleotide ribosomal RNA is filed under the name uncultured bacterium. RNAcentral's name for it is "partial 16S ribosomal RNA". It matches the Rfam family "Bacterial small subunit ribosomal RNA", at positions 360 to 773 of the family's 1533-position model. The record is from RNAcentral.